AACUUUCAACAACGGAUCUCUUGGUUCUGGCAUCGAUGAAGAACGCAGCGAAAUGCGAUACGUAGUGUGAAUUGCAGAAUUCAGUGAAUCAUCGAAUCUUUGAACGCACAUUGCGCCCUUUGGUAUUCCAAAGGGCAUGCCUGUUCGAGCGUCAU
This 155-nucleotide ribosomal RNA is filed under the name Bipolaris maydis (southern corn leaf blight pathogen). Its description in RNAcentral is "5.8S ribosomal RNA". It matches the Rfam family "5.8S ribosomal RNA". From Rfam's summary of the family: 5.8S ribosomal RNA (5.8S rRNA) is a component of the large subunit of the eukaryotic ribosome. It is transcribed by RNA polymerase I as part of the 45S precursor that also contains 18S and 28S rRNA. The record is from RNAcentral. Lineage: Eukaryota; Fungi; Ascomycota; Dothideomycetes; Pleosporales; Pleosporaceae. RNAcentral also lists the same sequence under 55 other names.